This 493-nucleotide ribosomal RNA is filed under the name uncultured bacterium. RNAcentral describes it as "partial 16S ribosomal RNA". It matches the Rfam family "Bacterial small subunit ribosomal RNA", at positions 899 to 1397 of the family's 1533-position model. The record is from RNAcentral.
ACUCAAAUGAAUUGACGGGGACCCGCACAACCUGUGGAGCGUGUGGUUCAAUUCGAGACGAAACGAAGGACCUCACCAGGGUUUGACAUGCAAUCGUUUAUUUUCCUGGAAACAGGGAGAAAUCCGCAAGGAUGAUUGCACAGGUGCUGCAUGGCUGUCGUCAGCUCGUGCCGUGAGGUGUUCCCUUAAGUGGGGAAACGAGCGCAACCCCCAUCCAAUGUUAGAUUAUUCAUUGGAAACUGACUACGUUCAAACGUGGAAGGAAGGAGGGGAAGACGUCAAGUCAGCACGGCCCUUAUACCCUGGGCCACACACACACUACAAUGGCGAAAAACAACGAGCAGCAAGCCGGCAACGGCAAGCAAAUCUCUCAAAUUUCGCCUCAGUUCAGAUUGGAGUCUGAAACCCGACUCCAUGAAGCCGGAAUAGGUAGUAAUCGCGGAUCAGCAAUGCCGCGGUGAAUACGUUCUCGGGUCUUGCACACACCGCCCGU